Long non-coding RNA from Ictidomys tridecemlineatus (thirteen-lined ground squirrel), 8486 nucleotides. RefSeq lists it as uncharacterized. The record is from RefSeq and is a predicted model, not a curated record. NCBI's taxonomy places the organism in Eukaryota, Metazoa, Chordata, Mammalia, Rodentia, Sciuridae.
GUUGCGCGGGGGCCGGGCGCGCGCCCGGAGGACGAGCGGCUGCCGUUAGCGUUCGCCACUGGCCAUUGCGCGCUGGCGGCCAGCCCUCGGACGGUGAGGCCCUUCUGGCCUCCUGCGGUGCCUCGGCCUGUAACCCGGAAUGGUUGAGCGGGAGGCCGGGUCAGGGGCGGAGGCCGCUAGGGAAGGGCAGGAGUCGGCAUCGCUCAGCCCCGGCCCGCCCAGGCUCCCCAGCUGAGAAGCCCCCAGUGGGGCUCCUGGUCACCCGAGGGGCUCCCCCGAGGCGGAAGUCUCUGGAAAACAAAGGAAUUCAAGAGGAGCUUCUCUGAAACUUGACCCUGCCAUGGCACAACUCUCCAGUUUUCUUCACUGUCUCCAGAACAGGAGUUUUUCUGGGACAGAUGGCACAAGAGCACCAGAAUCCUCCACCAGGGCAGACAUUGUUCGGAUGUGGAUCUUGGGAGCCUCACCCCCUUGGAGCUCACGGACUGAGAACAAGGAGUUCCCCUCCCAUCAGGGACUUUCUGAAAGAUGAUCCCCAUGAGGGACCUCACGCAGACCCUGUGGGCACUAGGAAAUGCCUCAGAAUGUUCCAGAACCUUCAGCUGGCAUUGGGGACUCUCCCAGAGGUGAAGCCAAGCAGUUCUCCUCCCCAAGACAAGACCUUCCAGCAGAAGAGAGAAGGCAGAUGCUGUGACAGGGACAAGAGGUAGCCUGCAGCCAGACUUAAAACUCUUUGAAGAAGAGCCACAUUGUGUCCCUUGGAUCCUCCCCAGCACCUUCAAGCAUUGACACCUCAGAAUCGUGGCGGGGCUUGGAAGCUGCAUGGGGCUAUGGUGCCACCCUCUGAGCAGAGGGUCCAGGACAUGCCUUUGGCUGAAGACGCGGCUUCCUCCUUAGGGAUGGCUGAAAUUCUCUUCUGGUCACACGGGGCAAAAGGUGACUUUGUAUUUACUGCCGUCCUUUCUAGCCCACACCACAAGGCAGGCUAGCCAAGGUAGCCCCAGAGACCAUCAGGUGGCUGGCCAUCUGUCUCCAUUGUCUCAGCUGUGCCCGAGAGAUGUAACUAUUUGCCAUAUGUUGUGCUGGGCCUGGGAGGGACCUGGGAAAGGACAGGCAGGGAACAGCCAGAAUUCAUUCGGUGGGAAAGCCACCCAUCCCAGCGCCCUGGUUAAGUAUGACUGGCUCAGGACCUUCCUCCACGUGAACUUGGAGCUCCUUGUGGGCAGAGCUGUGUCUUGGGCCUGUCCCUGCUUCACGGUGCCUGGUUCAGCAAAUAGGUAUCUGUUUGCAGAGUGUCUGCCUUGGAGUAAUCACUCUUUAGCUCCUGACAACUGACAGCCAGGGCUCAUGGAGUAACAAGGAGAGCAGAGGUAGGAUGACUGUGCUCUCAUCCCACCUAGGUUCUCUCCACCUCCUGUGAGUACAUCAUCCCGUUGGUAUGUGGCUAAAUUCUAGGUCCCAUGCACAAAGUACAGGAAAGUCCCUUUAUCUUUUAUUAAUUGCAAAUUUUCUCUCCCCCUUGAAAAAUGGGACAAACUGCUUAAGUCUGUGUUUUUGUGUAGCCUAGGAGUUCUCCAUUCACUUUCUUUAAAGCAAGUUAAAACUGUAGGGACAGUAAAAAAUCAUCCUUAGUGGUGGCAACUGCAUUUUCUAGAAACACAUUUUCUACCCCGGUGACCUUUGGCUUGGUGAGCCUAUCCUGGGCCGUGGAGCUUUAAGGAGAAGAGGAGAGCAUGCCUAGCUAGCUGCCCCUCCUGGGCCCACCAGGGGCCACCUGCUCACCCACUGGCCUCUGGGCCAGAGGGGAUAGCCAGGCACCAGCUCUACGUUCUCUAACCUGAAAGUUUAUAGAUGGUGUCAUUUAUAGUGAGUCUCCAGAAUAUUCUCUCAACCUGAAAGUUUAUAGAUAGUGUGUCAUUUAUAGUGAGUCUCCAGAAUAUUCUCUCAAAUUUCUCUUGUAAUAACUGUUCCAGGCAGUUUAUGAAAUUAUGAAGACAAGAGAUUGAAGUGGAUAAUCAGAGGAGCAAAGGCUGGGGGGGGGGGCGGGAUCCUAAACCAGGGCCCCCUGAAGGAGGCAAAGGCCACUCACAGAGGGCACAAGGCUUCUGGGAAGUUGCUCGAGAAGUUGAGUCUAGAUGGAGAGCAGUGAAGCGGCCCCACCCAUCCCCAUGGCAAGGACCGUAACUGCCAAGCCAGCCUAGUGAUGUCUCCUCGCAGGCCUGCUCUGCUGAGAAAGCCGUGAGCAGAAUCCCGUUUUAUCUUCUCAACAACCCUUUGUAGUAGGUAUUUUUAUUUCUAAUUUUAUGCUACAAAUGAAGGAAAUAAGAUGUGGAGAGGUUGAAUCACUUGCUCAAGGUCAUGCAACUACUAACUAGAGCUAGAGCCCAAUUCCUUCCCGUGCUGUUAAAAGUUGGGGUUUCCCCAUUGUAGGAUUUUUAAUUCCGUUUGCUGGAAUGCCAGCCCAUUUUCGGUCCUUGGCCAUCUUGGAAUAGUCUUGUUUCCACAAUCUCUUCUUCAGCCUGUCAAAGCCACAGAAAGGUCUUCAGGAGACCAGUCCCAGGAGGUGGUAAGCGCUUCAGUCCCUAUGAAAGCUGUGUUCAUGGGAGACCGCACGCGCCCCCCGGCAGCCACAGGACCUCUGCCGAGGGUGCCGGUAGAGGGGGAGUCUCAGGUCACGGCAGACUAAACUCUGUGGUUAUGUGCUUGUGCUGGGGUCAGGCAGUACAGUUUAUUUGUGCUUAGCUAUGUCUGGGCCUCCACUGGAGUGACCACUCUGGAGAUAGCUGGGAUGGUCCAGCUGGGGCUCUGCCUGGGGCCCGGCUUCUGUCUGCCAGGUGGAUUCCUCCAUCCCUCCUCUGGUAGCAUCUACGGGGCCAAAACAUCCAAAGUGGCUUUUCACUCACAUUCCUGGAACCUCCCCCAUCUUCCAUGUGGCCUUUCUCCAGGAGAGUGGCCUGAUCUUGUGCUGUUGUCCAGGCUCUCAGAACCAUGGCCUCUGCUCCUGUCCACUGCAGGCCCCACCUGUCCUCCUCCACCCCCUCCCCUGUUGUCCAGGUGACUGUCACAUCAUGAGACCCUGCCUCGGUGUGUACGUACAAUUCACUGGGCCAGGAUCCAACAGGAGCUGGCCAAUGACUUUUGAAGUCAUCUGACCCCACAAUAGAAGUGAAGCAGCCAGACUAGUCAGGCUCCUCCUUUUGUAAAUUUGAGCCAGAAAUCAAAAAAGGUAGUGUGUGACCAGGUGUCAUGAGGGCGAGCAGGGCCUGGAUGGACCAGUGUUAGUCACAGUGACACUGGAGGAGAAAGAGUAAAGGAAACAAAGCAAGCCGUGACGUGGAGAAGGUCAUGGAGGGAAAGCAAGCCUUGUUUGGAGCAAGCGCAUACAGGACAGAAGGCCGAGGCAGAGCCGCCAGCCCCGGAACUGCCCUGUUGUUGUGGCUCCCUGGGCCCAGCCUCGCCCAGGUGAUACCACAGCAGCCACACUGGCUGUUACCUUUGCUUGCAGUUGGCUUAGAAGUGGGCCUGCUACUUCAUUCUGCUAAUAACUUAGGGGAAGUGACAGGGACUGCCCAAGCCCCUGAGGCAGCAAGCACAAGGGGGAGGCCAGAAUGCAGAGGUGACAGCAGACAGGCAAAAGGAGCCUGGGUCCUUGAUGACAUGGUUGAGCCACUAUACCUAUCCUGGAACUACCUACUUCCAGUAUUGUUGCUGUGUAAGUUAAAAGUCUUAUUUUCUAAGCAGAUUUCUGCUACUUGCAGCCUGAAGCAUUCCUAUCCCCAUAGCUGCCCCUUAGAGCACAUGGCUCUUUCUGGAGCUCCAAGUGGAGACUCGCCCUGAGUGUUAACAUGAGAAGUCCUGUUCAUACAACAAGAAAUAAAAGUCAGGAUUUGUCACAGCUCACACAGCUGUUAGUCCCAACUGCCACGGCCUAUAGGAUACAGACAAGGAAAGAAAAAUAUUCAGGACAUUUCCACAAGUAUGGGCAUGAGUCUUCUAAACUGGGGCUCAAUAACGAAUUUGAGGAAGAUCAAGUUCAGUGGGGGGUUAAUGCCUAAGAUCCAAAGCCCAAGCAAGGUUCAGGAAGCCAUGGGAGGAGCAGGAAGUUGAGCUGAACAAAUGGUAGGUAGGUUGGACAAAUUCUGGGAAGGAUGCCCAGGACUCCAGGUGGAUGGUAGGAGCUCGGGGGACCAGCCAGAAAGAAGCCUAAGCACCUGGAACUAACCGUGACCCCGACCCGCCCACCUGCCGACCUUCCUGAUGCUUUAGGUUCUCAAAAAGUAAGAUAUCCCCCGCAGCCCUGGGUUGCCACCCUGGCAAGCCCCGUUUCCUUAUUCCUCAUCUCUUCUCCCUCCAUCUUCCCCUUUUUUUCCUCCACUUUUGUCCUCUCUGUGCAAAGUCAGGCCUCAGAAAUGCACAAGACCUGAGUCAUUCUAACGCAAUUGGGGGAUUAAAAUGGAGGCCAGGGUAUUUUGCUCGUCUAGAAUGCUCAUCUGGGAAGAGGAGUUAGACUGGCGAGAGGGGAAGCAAUUGCUAAAUGAGGACUGGAGAAAGCUUCCUUCUGGUGCAACUCUCAUGUUCUUUUGUGUGUUUUUAACAUAAGAAAUGUACCCAUUCUUCCCUUAAAAAAUGGGAAGCUGAACUCAAGAGCCCUAGCCCUUCUUUUUUGAAACUCUUUUUAAAAAUAUAAAACGAAGAUUAGACUGGCAUCUUCUUAAUCAGUCUUACCAAUGUGCACUGUUCCCCUGCAUUCAGACCCUGAGAAAAGCCACCGGCCCCAUUUCCCAUCUCUGAAUGAUCUUGUGCAGAUGUGACCCAUAGAAGUUCUUCAGAUCUUUGGAGCCCAACCACAGAUGUGUUGCAAUCUUAGAAGUUGUGACCACCAGUUUCUGUCACUGAGCCUCGGCCCUCUCGGUGCAGUACUAUGUUCCUGAACAAGGCAUGCAGGCCUGUGCCCCAGGCUGAACAGCCCAAAAAGAAAAUCCUAUAACCAGAGGAGUGAAAUUCCUGGUUGGAGUGAAUGAAGCAAAAAGUUUAACCCCCUGCCUUGUGAUAGGAUGAACACAUCAGAGCAUUCCGUGAGCCCUGCAUGUCCCUGGGAGUCACCAAAGAGCCUCUGAAACUCUUGAGACCAAAGGCACUUGUUCCCCCGACUGCUGCUCAUCAAGACUUUUCUCCAGCAUGAAGUAGCCUGAUGACUGACCUAGAGUGCGCUCAUCUCUCAAAGACGACGUGUCUCUCCUGUGAAUCCCCCAAUGAUGAGAAAGAGCUAAGCAGGCCCAUGUGAUCCUACCCAUUAGCCUCUCUCCAGGGUGACCUAAUGUCCCCGCAGCCAUGCUACCCCUAGAAGGUCUGCCAUAUUCAUCACACCUGACCAGCUUAAGGCCCAUUUGAGUCCAUUGGUAUUGUCCAAGGACAGGACUGUGAUGAAGCCACUUCUUCCUCCAUUAUGCUUCCAGGACCUCUCUCUGCUGCAAACUCCCAGAUGUCUGGCUGGUGCCAAGCACUAUUUAAAGACAGUCGUUUGCAUCCAUCACAUGCAUAUGGUUUUUCUCCAGUGUGAAUUCUCUGACGUUGAAUGAGCUUUGCUUUCUGAAAGCCCUCCCACAUUUUAUCGCAUCUGUAGUUUCUGUUGCAUGUGACGUAGCCAGUGCUGUGGGGGGGUGCUGACAGAUGCCUCCCCCCACCCACUCUCUACAAGAUGAGUGUUAUUUCAAAAGGACCGGAGCCCCAAGGAAAUUGCCUGUAUUCACAACAGUCAAAGCUGUUCUCUCCGAUAUGAAACUGUAACACUGAAUAAAUCCGGAAUCCUUACCCAAGACUUGGCCACGCGUGUCUUACUUGGACCUUAUCUCACUUCUAAAGAGUUGAAGUGCAGAUUUUUCCAUAUUUACCACACUUAAGGGAUGGGGUCCCUGAGACAGUGCUCUGAGGUGUGUCAGUCUUCAUGGCCUGGCCAGCGUCAGCGACCCCCUCGGGGCAUCCUCUUUGCUCCCUCUGCUGUGGAAGACCCUGUUUGGAUGUCAGCUUGUUGUUCCUGGUCCCUUCUCACAAUAUAAAAUUGUGGAAAAUAUAAGUAUGGACCAUUCUCUCUCAAAGGACAAGACAAUUACUUGGACUGAGGGUGGAAGAUUUUGGAAGAAGAAUUAAAGGCUGCCUUUGAGCAAAUAUACAAAAUGAUGGCUUCUUCAGAUUGCUGGUUAUUUAGUUCUCAUUCCUUUCAUGAACUCAGUUUUGGUUACAGUGAAAAUGUGCCUAUUAAAAAUACCUUCUCUAGUGACAUGGGAGGGGCAUGUGGGGAGGUACAAGGAGGCUGUGAGUGCUCUGUCCAUUGUUCUGGAUUACUGACCAGGUGGACAUGCUCACCUUGGGAAAAUCCGUCAAGUUUUAUAUUUGUAAUUUGUGCACUUUUUAUACAUGAAAAGUAAAAUAAAAAUCUGUCUCUUCCCCCAUUCAGCAACAGGGCAGUCAUGACAAAUAAGAUACAAGCAGAAUUUGUGCUUCCAAAAUACAUUGAAGGCAGCAGCCUCUGGACCGUGACUCUUGUUGCUUCUCCCUAUCUGGUCCUCUUCCUGCCUGCUCCCAGGAUGUGACCAGGUGGAGAAGACCAUGGGCAGAAGGUGGCUCCGUGAACAUAGGAAGGGGCCCCUUCUUAUGGUUAUGAAAUUUUUUAUAGUUUCUAAGUUUUGUGUGCUUGUACUUUUUCUAGUUCAGAAUUAUUAGGAUGUUAAGCGCUUCCUCCUCCCAGUGUGCGUGUGUGUGUGCGUGUGUGUGUGGGAUCUCACUAUAUUGCUCAGUCUUGAACUCAUGGACUCAAUCAGUCCUCCUGCUGCAGCCUCCCAAGUAGCAGGAACUACAGGUGCAUGGCACAUGCCUGGGUUAUUAACCGAUUUCAACAGUUCUUUUAUGAUUUUUUGGUGGGGAAGUGAUACUGGGGAUUUAAUCCAAAGGUGCUUAACCACUGAGCUACAUCCCCAGCCUUUAUUUUUUAUUUUGAAACAAUCUCACUAAGUGGCUAAGGCUGGCCUGGAACCUUGUGAUCCUCCUGUCUCAACCUCCAGAGCCACUGGGAUUACAGGCAUGUGCCACUACACCUGGCUAGUAUUUUUAUGACUUCAUUUUUAUGUUCAAGUCUUGGAUCGAAGUGGAAUAGGAGCCAGUUCUCCCCUCCCACCCAUGAUCAACCAGCUGUCCCAAAAAUACCUAGUGAAUAACUCUUCCCAACUAUUUUGAAAUGCUAACUUAUUGUUAAAUUUGUAUUUAAAUUGGGUCUUUGUCUUUAAUCACUUUUAUUUAUCUGUCUGAAUCUUCUCUAGUACCUAAUUAUUUUGCUUUAUCAUUUGUUUUAGCAUCUAAUAAGGCCAGUCUCCUCAUUACCCAUUUUUCCACAACACUCAUGUUAAAAAGGGGGGCAGUUAAGUUGGAGUCACUCAAGAUUGAAAAAUGAAAAAAAAAAAAAUGGAGAUUGGACCAGAGGCACUUUACCACUGAGCCAUAUCCCCAGACCAUUUUAUUUCAUUUUAAGAUAAGGUCUUGCUAAGUUGCUGAGGCUGACCUCAAACUUGCCAUCCUCCUGCCUCAGCCUCCUCAUCCCUGAGAUCAUAGGCAUGCACCAUCCCACCUGGCUGAAAACUACUUUCAAGAAGUGUUAAAUGUGGCCAGUUGACAACACAUGGACAAGAUAUUAGAUAAAAAAUGAUGAAAGGAAAACAAUGUAACAUAAUCACAAAAUAUUAGGUUCACUUAUGAUGUCAGAGAUUGCACAAAGCUUCCAUAAUAUAGAUAACAUCUUAACAAUAUCUUUUUUCUAAGUAAUCAUGGUUUUUUCUACAAGUUCUUCCUGGAACCAUCUUAUAUAAAGAGGUCAUAUUUUCUCUUAAUAAUUACUUGUAUCCAGAACUCAGCAUCAAAGAAAUCCCAGCUCUAAUAAAUACAUCAAAAACGUAAUAUGCUUCGAGUCCUAUGACGUUGAGGUAUAUAUAGAGAGAUAAGCACACAGAUACCCAGAGAUAUAUUAACUCAACACUGGUGAUUAUACAGGUCUCAAUGAAGUGUGAAUUCUACACAAAGCAAAAAACCACUCUGCCAUUCUAUCCAGUCUAAAAAUAGUCUAUGACAAAAAAAAACAAACAUAAUGUUAGCAAUUGUGCUUCCCUUUUUGGAAUUCAGGAAGAUCAUGAGGAAAUUAUGUGUGAUGUGCAGGUUCUUUUCAAAAUAAGCUUUCCACAGAAAACGGAAAUGAUCCUUUCUCUUUCGUCUGAUACAUUUCCCUGAAACAAACAGAUGCAUUCAGAAUAAUUCCAUUGACCUUAUUGCUGCAUAUAAUUUUUGGCUUUCCCAGAUCAUGGCUAUUAUAGUUGUAUUUAAGGCAUCAUUGGGACCAUAUGUAUGAAAGAAAUAUUAAGAGACCUAGUUUCUUGUGUCGUGCCUUUACUGGAGAAAUGUUCCAUGUUUGUGUAAUAAAAAUAAAAAUGACAUGUUUGAAAAAA